GACAGAGGGUGCAAACGUUGUUCGGAAUUACUGGGCGUAAAGCGCGUGUAGGCGGCUAUGCAAGUCGGGCGUGAAAUCCCACGGCUCAACCGUGGAAGUGCACCCGAAACUGCGUAGCUAGAGUCCUGGAGAGGAAGGUGGAAUGCUUGGUGUGGAGGUGAAAUUCGUAGAUAUCAAGCGGAACACCGGUGGCGAAGGCGGCCUUCUGGACAGUGACUGACGCUGAGACGCGAAAGCGUGGGGAGCAAACAGG
This 253-nucleotide ribosomal RNA is filed under the name uncultured bacterium. RNAcentral's name for it is "partial 16S ribosomal RNA". It matches the Rfam family "Bacterial small subunit ribosomal RNA", at positions 524 to 776 of the family's 1533-position model. The record is from RNAcentral.